UUGAUUUCAAUUCCCUCAAGCUUUUUUGUGAAUACAAUGAAGGCCUGUUCAGGGUUAUUGGAUUUGGAGGUUUCAUGCAGGUCCCCUUUGUAAGGGAAUCAGCUCCUCUUAAAAAUAUUAGCUUGGAGGAUGAAGCAAAAUGGCUCAGCAUUUGUUCAUUGGCUUUCAUGGUGUAAUAUAAUUAUUUCAUCAUGACAUCAAUGUGUCAUACAAUGCAUGGGAAAAUAUAGUCCCGGGAGACUUUUUGUAGCAUUCUCUGCUUUCUAGUUUUGUCAGGUCUAUCUGGCAAUUCAUGUAUUCCU
Molecule: unclassified non-coding RNA, 302 nt
Filed under: uncultured Hymenochaetaceae
Lineage: Eukaryota; Fungi; Basidiomycota; Agaricomycetes; Hymenochaetales
Description: sequence contains ITS2
Source: RNAcentral